This 467-nucleotide ribosomal RNA is filed under the name uncultured bacterium. Its description in RNAcentral is "partial 16S ribosomal RNA". It matches the Rfam family "Bacterial small subunit ribosomal RNA", at positions 28 to 506 of the family's 1533-position model. The record is from RNAcentral.
GACGAACGCUGGCGGCGUGCUUAACACAUGCAAGUCGAACGGAAAGGCCCCGCUUUUGUGGGGUGCUCGAGUGGCGAACGGGUGAGUAACACGUGAGUAACCUGCCCUUGACUUUGGGAUAACUUCAGGAAACUGGGGCUAAUACCGGAUAGGAGCUCCUGCUGCAUGGUGGGGGUUGGAAAGUUUCGGCGGUUGGGGAUGGACUCGCGGCUUAUCAGCUUGUUGGUGGGGUAGUGGCUUACCAAGGCUUUGACGGGUAGCCGGCCUGAGAGGGUGACCGGCCACAUGGGGACUGGGAUCCGGCCCAGACUCCUACGGGGGGCAGCAGUGGGGAAUAUUGCACAAUGGGCGGAGGCCUGAUGCAGCAACGCCGCGUGCGGGAUGACGGCCUUCGGGUUGUAACCCGCUUUCGCCUGUGACGAAGCGUGAGUGACGGUAAUGGGUAAAGAAGCACCGGCUAACUACGU